UAAUUGGUGAGAGUCCAAUCUGAGUAAGUACCAAGGCGCUCAAUAGCUGACAGGCAACUGGUGGAGAAAUCCUAAGGUUGAAGACCUGGGACAAAGUAACCCUCAGGAAGAGUGCGAGAACCUAACAGGUUGUAACAUAA
RNAcentral lists this non-coding RNA (140 nucleotides) under Saliterribacillus persicus. The record is from RNAcentral. Lineage: Bacteria; Bacillati; Bacillota; Bacilli; Caryophanales; Bacillaceae.